GCCGGGGUUUCUUUACCAGAUACUGUCAUUAUCAUCUCUGGCGAAAGAGCUUUACGAUCCUAAGACCUUCUUCACUCACGCGGCAUGGCUAGAUCAGGCUUGCGCCCAUUGUCUAAGAUUCCCC
RNAcentral lists this ribosomal RNA (124 nucleotides) under uncultured bacterium. Its description in RNAcentral is "partial 16S ribosomal RNA". The record is from RNAcentral.